UGGGGAAUAUUGCACAAUGGGCGAAAGCCUGAUGCAGCGACGCCGCGUGGGGGAUGACGGCCUUCGGGUUGUAAACCCCUUUCAGCAGGGAAGAAGCGAAAGUGACGGUACCUGCAGAAGAAGCACCGGCUAACUACGUGCCAGCAGCCGCGGUAAUACGUAGGGUGCGAGCGUUGUCCGGAAUUAUUGGGCGUAAAGAGCUUGUAGGCGGUCUGUCGCGUCUGCUGUGAAAAUCCGGGGCUCAACCCCGGACUUGCAGUGGGUACGGGCAGACUAGAGUGUGGUAGGGGAGACUGGAAUUCCUGGUGUAGCGGUGAAAUGCGCAGAUAUCAGGAGGAACACCGAUGGCGAAGGCAGGUCUCUGGGCCACUACUGACGCUGAGAAGCGAAAGCAUGGGGAGCGAACA
This 407-nucleotide ribosomal RNA is filed under the name uncultured Intrasporangiaceae bacterium. RNAcentral describes it as "partial 16S ribosomal RNA". It matches the Rfam family "Bacterial small subunit ribosomal RNA", at positions 355 to 774 of the family's 1533-position model. RNAcentral also lists the same sequence under 1 other name. The record is from RNAcentral. Lineage: Bacteria; Bacillati; Actinomycetota; Actinomycetes; Micrococcales; Intrasporangiaceae.